UGCAACUUUUGUCUUUGGUAUUGUGUUUUCAAUGGAGGCUUGAGAUUCACGAAAUAUAGCAUUUCGGAUUCGCAACUGACUAAUCCCUAUGUAGUAUAGAAGAUUACGGAAGCACGAGGAUAAUUAUAAAAAAGGAAGAGGGGGAGGUGAGAAAGUGGUGGUGGGUGGUCCUUAAGCCUUGAAGGAAUCAAAGAAGACAUCUCACACUUGACCCCAAUUAUUAUGCCACCUUCUCUCUCACGUCUCCAUCCAUUUUCGUUGUCAUCUCUUUUUUUUCUUGAGGCUUUACUCUUCAAACGUGUCACCUCUUUAAUGGCAAAUCUUUCCUCUCUUUCAUUUGUUUUUGUAAUCCCUCAAAUUCUCGAUAGUUUUUUCUUUUUAUUGUCUUUUUCUAACAU
Molecule: long non-coding RNA, 398 nt
Organism: Arabidopsis thaliana (thale cress)
Lineage: Eukaryota; Viridiplantae; Streptophyta; Magnoliopsida; Brassicales; Brassicaceae
Product: other RNA
Exons: 1
Source: RefSeq